AUAGCGUGUGAAAAGCAAAGAAAGCCCAAAGUCGCACGAACAGUAGGCUCGCCCGUCAUCCUUGAGCUUUCCUUCUCCAACACAGAUCGGAAGUCGGACUGAGACACUGGUGAAUAUGACUCGCACACCAUGAGAAUGCUGUGAAUAGAGGCAAAUUGGCUUCGGGAGUCCCAUGGCAGGAAAGGAGCAGUCUCAGUAGAGCGUCUUAGGUAGUGCCUCUGCAUCCGCCCAAGCUGAGACGCUAUCAAGUAAAGAAACCCCGAAUACCCAACCUUGCCAAUAUUAUCAGGGUUCUCAAUGAGCUGCGUAAGCUUCAUUUUCUCGCCCGAAAUCGGCUCGCCCCGAAUACCCCAAGUAUCCACCGGGAGAUGAAGAACGCAGC
RNAcentral lists this unclassified non-coding RNA (382 nucleotides) under fungal sp. RNAcentral's name for it is "partial internal transcribed spacer region". The record is from RNAcentral. Lineage: Eukaryota; Fungi.